Molecule: ribosomal RNA, 445 nt
Filed under: uncultured bacterium
Lineage: Bacteria
Description: bacterial SSU rRNA
Rfam family: Bacterial small subunit ribosomal RNA
Source: RNAcentral
AACGCGAAGAACCUUACCUGGGCUCGAACGGCUUUGGAUCAUCUUUGGAAACAGAGACUUCCCGCAAGGGACCGGAGUCGAGGUGCUGCAUGGCUGUCGUCAGCUCGUGUCGUGAGAUGUUGGGUUAAGUCCCGCAACGAGCGCAACCCUUGUCCUGUGUUGCCACUCCCGUAAGGGAAGCACUCUCAGGAGACCGCCAGCGAUAAGUUGGAGGAAGGUGGGGAUGAUGUCAAGUCAUCAUGGCCUUUAUGUCCAGGGCUACACACGUGCUACAAUGGACGGUACAAAGCGCUGCAAACCCGCGAGGGGGAGCCAAUCGCAAAAAACCGUUCUCAGUUCGGAUCGCAGGCUGCAACUCGCCUGCGUGAAGCUGGAAUCGCUAGUAAUGGCGUAUCAGAACGAUGCCGUGAAUACGUUCCCGGGCCUUGUACACACCGCACUACUA